AGUGGCGGACGGGUGAGUAACGCGUGGGUAACCUGCCUCAUACAGGGGGAUAACAGUUAGAAAUGACUGCUAAUACCGCAUAAGACCACAGCACCGCAUGGUGCAGGGGUAAAAACUCCGGUGGUAUGAGAUGGACCCGCGUCUGAUUAGGUAGUUGGUGGGGUAACGCCUACCAAGCCGACGAUCAGUAGCCGACCUGAGAGGGUGACCGGCCACAUUGGGACUGAGACACGGCCCAA
RNAcentral lists this ribosomal RNA (239 nucleotides) under uncultured bacterium. RNAcentral's name for it is "partial 16S ribosomal RNA". It matches the Rfam family "Bacterial small subunit ribosomal RNA", at positions 94 to 334 of the family's 1533-position model. The record is from RNAcentral.